RNAcentral lists this unclassified non-coding RNA (216 nucleotides) under Hevea brasiliensis (rubber tree). The record is from RNAcentral. Lineage: Eukaryota; Viridiplantae; Streptophyta; Magnoliopsida; Malpighiales; Euphorbiaceae.
GAAUGAACUAGUGAAGAUUAUGGAAUGCAAGGAGAAAGAAAUUGGACACAUAGUCAUACCGGUCUUCUAUUAUGUGGAUCCAUCACAUGUUCGAUACCAAAGUGAGAGCUUUGCAGAAGCAUUUGCCAAACACGAAUCGAGGUAUAAGGAUGAUGUUGAGGGGAUGCAGAAGGUGCAAAGAUGGAGAACUGCCCUAACUGCUGCCGCAAAUCUAAA